UGGGGAAUUUUGGACAAUGGGGGAAACCCUGAUCCAGCCAUCCCGCGUGUGCGAUGAAGGCCUUCGGGUUGUAAAGCACUUUUGGCAGGAAAGAAACGUCAUGGGUUAAUACCCCGUGAAACUGACGGUACCUGCAGAAUAAGCACCGGCUGACUACGUGCCAGCAGCCGCGGUAAUACGUAGGGUGCAAGCGUUAAUCGGAAUUACUGGGCGUAAAGCGUGCGCAGGCGGUUCGGAAAGAAAGAUGUGAAAUCCCAGAGCUCAACUUUGGAACUGCAUUUUUAACUACCGGGCUAGAGUGUGUCAGAGGGAGGUGGAAUUCCGCGUGUAGCAGUGAAAUGCGUAGAUAUGCGGAGGAACACCGAUGGCGAAGGCAGCCUCCUGGGAUAACACUGACGCUCAUGCACGAAAGCGUGGGGAGCAAACAGG
RNAcentral lists this ribosomal RNA (429 nucleotides) under Acidobacteriota bacterium. Its description in RNAcentral is "Acidobacteria bacterium partial 16S ribosomal RNA". It matches the Rfam family "Bacterial small subunit ribosomal RNA", at positions 355 to 776 of the family's 1533-position model. Lineage: Bacteria; Pseudomonadati; Acidobacteriota. The record is from RNAcentral.